CAGCAGCCACGGUAAUACGUAGGGUGCGAGCGUUAAUCGGAAUUACUGGGCGUAAAGCGUGCGCAGGCGGUUCGUUAAGACAGAUGUGAAAUCCCCGGGCUUAACCUGGGAACUACAUUUGUGACUGGCGAGCUAGAGUAUGGCAGAGGGGGGUAGAAUUCCACGUGUAGCAGUGAAAUGCGUAGAGAUGUGGAGGAAUACCGAUGGCGAAGGCAGCCCCCUGGGCCAAUACUGACGCUCAUGCACGAAAGCGUGGGGAGCAAACAGGAUUAGAGACCCCCGUAGUCCCUGUCUCUUAUAA
Molecule: ribosomal RNA, 301 nt
Filed under: uncultured bacterium
Lineage: Bacteria
Description: partial 16S ribosomal RNA
Rfam family: Bacterial small subunit ribosomal RNA
Source: RNAcentral